This 465-nucleotide ribosomal RNA is filed under the name uncultured bacterium. RNAcentral describes it as "partial 16S ribosomal RNA". It matches the Rfam family "Bacterial small subunit ribosomal RNA", at positions 28 to 507 of the family's 1533-position model. The record is from RNAcentral.
GACGAACGCUGGCGGCGUGCUUAACACAUGCAAGUCGAACGGAAAGGCCCUGCUUGCAGGGUACUCGAGUGGCGAACGGGUGAGUAACACGUGGGUGAUCUGCCCUGCACUUCGGGAUAAGCCUGGGAAACUGGGUCUAAUACCGGAUAGGAGCCAUUUUUAGUUUGAUGGUUGGAAAGUUUUUUCGGUGUAGGUUGAGCUCGCGGCCUAUCAGCUUGUUGGUGGGGUAAUGGCCUACCAAGGCGGCGACGGGUAGCCGGCCUGAGAGGGUGGACGGCCACAUUGGGACUGAGAUACGGCCCAGACUCCUACGGGAGGCAGCAGUGGGGAAUAUUGCACAAUGGGCGCAAGCCUGAUGCAGCGACGCCGCGUGGGGGAUGACGGCCUUCGGGUUGUAAACUCCUUUCGCUAGGGACGAAGCUUUUUGUGACGGUACCUAGAUAAGAAGCACCGGCUAACUACGUG